CCUACGGGUGGCUGCAGUGAGGAAUAUUGGUCAAUGGACGGAAGUCUGAACCAGCGAUGCCGCGUGCAGGAAGACGGCUCUAUGAGUUGUAAACUGCUUUUGUACAAGGGUAAACCUGAAUACGUGUAUUCAGCUGAAAGUACUGUACGAAUAAGGAUCGGCUAACUCCGUGCCAGCAGCCGUGGUGAUACGGAGGAUCCAAGCGUUAUUCGGAUUUAUUGGGUUUAAAGCGUGCGUAGGCGGAUUGAUAAGUUAGAGGUGAAAUGUCCGAGCUUAACUCGGGAACUGCCUCUAAUACUGGUGAACUAGAGAGUAGAUGCGGUAGGCGGAAUGUAUGGUGUAGCAGUGAAAUGCUUAGAGAUCAUAAAGAACACCGAUGGCGAAGGCAGCUUACCAAUAUAUAUCUGACGUUGAGGCACGAAAGCGUGGGGAGCAAACAGGAUUAGAUACCCCUGUAGUC
RNAcentral lists this ribosomal RNA (460 nucleotides) under uncultured bacterium. RNAcentral describes it as "partial 16S ribosomal RNA". It matches the Rfam family "Bacterial small subunit ribosomal RNA", at positions 338 to 795 of the family's 1533-position model. The record is from RNAcentral.